This 340-nucleotide transfer-messenger RNA is filed under the name uncultured Catonella sp. It matches the Rfam family "transfer-messenger RNA". From Rfam's summary of the family: Bacterial tmRNA, also known as 10Sa RNA or SsrA, is named for its dual tRNA and mRNA-like properties. Its role is to liberate the mRNA from a stalled ribosome. To accomplish this part of the tmRNA is used as a reading frame that ends in a translation stop signal. Lineage: Bacteria; Bacillati; Bacillota; Clostridia; Lachnospirales; Lachnospiraceae. The record is from RNAcentral.
GGGGUUGUACUGGUUUCGACGGGAGUUUUGAGAUCGGAGAAGCAGGCCGCAGGUAUGCGUUAAAUCCAAACUUAAAUAUAAACGCUGAAGAUAAUAAUUUAGCACUCGCUGCCUAAGCGCAGCGUGUCCUUCCUAUUGCACCUACACUUUAGGGUAAGGGCAUCGAAUCUGUAGGAAACGACGGGGUGAGCGGGCUCGUAGCCUCGGCCGUAUAAGGGUCUACCGAGAAAAGUAUCGUGUCGGUCCGAGACUUUUUGGGGGAAUCAAUAAAGAUUGACUAAGCUUGUAGAAGUACGGUGGAGAGAUUUUCGGACAGGGGUUCGAUUCCCCCCAGCUCCAU